CGGGAGGCAGCAGUAGGGAAUCUUCCACAAUGGACGAAAGUCUGAUGGAGCAACGCCGCGUGAGUGAAGAAGGUUCUCGGAUCGUAAAACUCUGUUGUGAGGGAAGAACAAGUACCGGAGUAACUGCCGGUACCUUGACGGUACCUCAUUAGAAAGCCACGGCUAACUACGUGCCAGCAGCUGCGGUAAUACGUAGGUGGCAAGCGUUGUCCGGAAUCAUUGGGCGUAAAGCGCGCGCAGGCGGUCCCUUAAGUCUGAUGUGAAAGCCCACGGCUCAACCGUGGAGGGUCAUUGGAAACUGGGGGACUUGAGUGCAGAAGAGGAAAGCGGAAUUCCAAGUGUAGCGGUGAAAUGCGUAGAGAUUUGGAGGAACACCAGUGGCGAAGGCGGCUUUCUGGUCUGUAACUGACGCUGAGGCGCGAAAGCGUGGGGAGCAAACAGGAUUAGAUACCCUGGUAGUCCACGCCGUAAACGAUGAGUGCUAAGUGUUAGGGGGUUUCCGCCCCUUAGUGCUGCAGCUAACGCAUUAAGCACUCCGCCUGGGGAGUACGGUCGCAAGACUGAAACUCAAAGGAAUUGACGG
This 583-nucleotide ribosomal RNA is filed under the name uncultured bacterium. RNAcentral's name for it is "bacterial SSU rRNA". It matches the Rfam family "Bacterial small subunit ribosomal RNA", at positions 342 to 916 of the family's 1533-position model. The record is from RNAcentral.